AGUGAACGCUGGCGGUAGGCCUAACACAUGCAAGUCGAACGGCAGCACAGUAAGAGCUUGCUCUUACGGGUGGCGAGUGGCGGACGGGUGAGGAAUACAUCGGAAUCUACUUUUUCGUGGGGGAUAACGUAGGGAAACUUACGCUAAUACCGCAUACGACCUACGGGUGAAAGCAGGGGAUCUUCGGACCUUGCGCGAUUGAAUGAGCCGAUGUCGGAUUAGCUAGUUGGCGGGGUAAAGGCCCACCAAGGCGACGAUCCGUAGCUGGUCUGAGAGGAUGAUCAGCCACACUGGAACUGAGACACGGUCCAGACUCCUACGGGAGGCAGCAGUGGGGAAUAUUGGACAAUGGACGCAAGCCUGAUCCAGCCAUACCGCGUGGGUGAAGAAGGCCUUCGGGUUGUAAAGCCCUUUUGUUGGGAAAGAAAAGCAGCAGGUUAAUACCCCGCUGCUCUGACGGUACCCAAAGAAUAAGCACCGGCUAACUUCGUG
RNAcentral lists this ribosomal RNA (492 nucleotides) under uncultured bacterium. RNAcentral's name for it is "partial 16S ribosomal RNA". It matches the Rfam family "Bacterial small subunit ribosomal RNA", at positions 29 to 507 of the family's 1533-position model. The record is from RNAcentral.